Molecule: ribosomal RNA, 257 nt
Filed under: uncultured prokaryote
Description: partial 16S ribosomal RNA
Rfam family: Bacterial small subunit ribosomal RNA
Source: RNAcentral
UACGGAGGAUCCGAGCGUUAUCCGGAUUUAUUGGGUUUAAAGGGCGCGCAGGCGGCCUCUUAAGUCUGAUGUGAAAUCUUGUGGCUUAACCACAAGCGGUCAUUGGAAACUGAGAAGCUUGAGUGCAGAAGAGGAGAGUGGAAUUCCACGUGUAGCGGUGAAAUGCGUAGAGAUGUGGAGGAACACCAGUGGCGAAGGCGACUCUCUGGUCUGUAACUGACGCUGAGGCGCGAAAGCGUGGGGAGCGAACAGGAUUA